RNAcentral lists this ribosomal RNA (543 nucleotides) under uncultured Chloroflexota bacterium. RNAcentral's name for it is "bacterial SSU rRNA". It matches the Rfam family "Bacterial small subunit ribosomal RNA", at positions 338 to 896 of the family's 1533-position model. Lineage: Bacteria; Bacillati; Chloroflexota. The record is from RNAcentral.
CCUAGGGUGGCUGCAGUAGGGAAUAUUGGUGAAUGGGCGAAAGCCUGAACCAGCAACGCCGCGUGUGCGAUGAAGGCCUUCGGGUUGUAAAGCACUUUUUCAUCGGGAAGAGGAAGGACGGUACCGGUGGAAUAAGCCUCGGCUAACUACGUGCCAGCAGCCGCGGUAAAACGUAGGAGGCGAGCGUUAUCCGGAUUUACUGGGUGUAAAGCGCGUGCAGGCGGUUCGUUAAGUUGGGUGUAAAAGCUCCUGGCUCAACUGGGAGAGGUCGCUCAAGACUGGCGGACUAGAGGGUGGUAGAGGAAGGUGGAAUUCCGGGUGUAGUGGUGAAAUGCGUAGAUAUCCGGAGGAACACCAGUGGCGAAAGCGGCCUUCUGGGCCACACCUGACGCUCAGACGCGAAAGCUAGGGUAGCAAACGGGAUUAGAGACCCCGGUAGUCCUAGCCGUAAACGAUGUGAACUUGGCGGCGGGCGGGUAAAACCGCUCGGUGCCGAAGCAAACGCGAUAAGUUCACCACCUGGGGACUACGGCCGCAAGGUUA